UUUAUCUUAAAUUUUAUUUUUUGUAAAUUUUUGAUGAAAUUAUUUUUAAUUUUCUUAGUAUUAUUUAGAAAAGAGAUUAAUUUAUAAUAAACUGUGAAGGCUAAUUUUUAUAUUUUUAAUAAAGUUUAAUUAGUACCUUUUGUAUCAGGGUGAAUUCAAUAUGUUAAUAAUUUUAUAUUCCCGAAUUUUAAAGGUCAAUAAAUAUAUUAAUUUAUUUGUUUCAGUACGUUUUUAAAUAUAUUUAUAGUAAUUAAAUGUUAUUCGUUUUAAGUGUAUCUGGUUGUUAGGGAAAUUAAUUUAAUUAAUCGUUAUUUUAUAUAAUUUUAUUUUAAAUUUUUAUAAUGAAAAAUUAUUAGGGAUAAUCUUAAUAGUUUGUAUUACAAUAGAUUUGUCUUUAAAUAUUUAUUAUCUUUAGAAUUUUGUAUUGAGUUUGUAAUAAAUUUGUAUUUUACUAUAUUAUUUUUUUAUAUUUAUUUUUCUACUUAACUAAUUAAAUUAAUUUUAAUUUUAUUUAAAUAAUUAUUCAAUUAGUAUAAUUAUUAUUUUUAAUUAAAUGAACUUGACAAAUUUUAUUCCCAACUGUUUAACAAAAACAUUUCUUUUUGGUUUAUAUAAAAGGUAUAUUCUGCCCUAUGAUUUAUAUUAAAUGGCUGCAGUAUUUUGACUGUGCAAAGGUAGCAUAGUAAUUAGUUUCUUAAUUAGAAGCUGGUAUGAAUGAAUUAAUGAGAAAUAUAUUUUAUUAAUUUUAUUAUUAAAAUUUAAAAUUUAAGUUAAAAUGCUUAAUGAAUUUCUAGGGACGAUAAGACCCUAUAGAACUUUAUAUUAUAAUUUUUAAUUGUUUUUGUUUAAAAUAUUCAUUUAAUUUUUGUAAUAAUUUGCUGGGGUGGUGAAUAAAUUUUAACUUUAUUAUUUUAUAUCAGAAAUAUCUGUUAGUUUUGAUCCUACUGGACUUAAGAUUAAGUUACCUUAGGGAUAACAGCGUAAUUUUAAUGGCGAGUCCAUAUCUAUAUUAAUUUUGCGACCUCGAUGUUGAAUUAAGGUAAGACUAAGGAGCAGAAUUCUUAGUUCUAAGUCUGUUCGACUUUUAAAUCCUUACAUGAUUUGAGUUCAAACCGGCGUGAGCCAGGUUGGUUUCUAUCUUAGAAUUAAUAAUACUAUUUAGUACGAAAGGACCAUUAGUGUAUACUUAGGUAUUUUAUUUUUCUAACA
This 1209-nucleotide ribosomal RNA is filed under the name Exitianus nanus. RNAcentral's name for it is "16S ribosomal RNA". Lineage: Eukaryota; Metazoa; Arthropoda; Insecta; Hemiptera; Cicadellidae. The record is from RNAcentral.